UCUGAAGCAUUUAGAGAAGAUAUGGCUUGAAAUAAGGCUGCCUUUGCUGAAUUUGUUCUUGAUGAGAAAAUAGAGGCACACAAAAGUUAAGUAAUCUGUUCAACGUCACACAGGAAAAUUAUGGUAAAGAGGAGGAUAGAACCCAAAUCACCUG
Mauremys reevesii (Reeves's turtle) is the source of this 154-nucleotide long non-coding RNA. RefSeq lists it as uncharacterized. The transcript is spliced from 3 exons. The record is from RefSeq and is a predicted model, not a curated record. NCBI's taxonomy places the organism in Eukaryota, Metazoa, Chordata, Testudines, Geoemydidae.